Molecule: ribosomal RNA, 458 nt
Filed under: uncultured bacterium
Lineage: Bacteria
Description: partial 16S ribosomal RNA
Rfam family: Bacterial small subunit ribosomal RNA
Source: RNAcentral
CCUACGGGUGGCAGCAGUGAGGAAUAUUGGUCAAUGGGCGAGAGCCUGAACCAGCAAAGUCGCGUGAGGGAGUACUGCCCUAGGGGUUGUAAACCUCUUUGGUCGGGGAGCAAAAGCCGGACGUGUCCGGCUAUGAGAGUACCCGAAGAAAAAGCAUCGCCUAACUCGGGGCCAGCAGCCGCGGGAAUACGGGGGAUGCGAGCGUUAUCGGGAUUUAUUGGGGUAAAGGGGGGCAGAGGGGGAUUUUUAUGUCAGCGGUAAAAUCGUGGGUUUCAACCCCAUCCAGCCGUUGAAACUGGGGUUCUAGAGUGUGCGAGAGGUAUGCGGAAUGCGUGGUGUAGCGGUGAAAUGCAUAGAGAUCACGCAGAACCCCGAUUGCGAAGGCAGCAUACUGGUGCACAACUGACGCUCAGGCACGAAAGCGUGGGUAUCGAACAGGAUUAGAUACCCGAGUAGUC